RNAcentral lists this ribosomal RNA (397 nucleotides) under uncultured bacterium. RNAcentral describes it as "partial 16S ribosomal RNA". It matches the Rfam family "Bacterial small subunit ribosomal RNA", at positions 523 to 918 of the family's 1533-position model. The record is from RNAcentral.
AUACGUAGGGGGCGAGCGUUGUACGGAAUGAUUGGGCGUAAAGGGCGCGUAGGCGGCCCGGUAAGUCUGGAGUGAAAGUCCUGUUUUUAAGAUGGGAAUUGCUUUGGAGACUGUCGGGCUUGAGUGCAGGAGAGGUAAGUGGAAUUCCCAGUGUAGCGGUGAAAUGCGUAGAGAUUGGGAGGAACACCAGUGGCGAAGGCGACUUACUGGACUGUAACUGACGCUGAGGCGCGAAAGUGUGGGGAGCAAACAGGAUUAGAUGCCCUGGUAGUCCACACUGUAAACGAUGAAUGCUAGGUGUAGGGGGUAUCGACCCCUUCUGUGGCGCAGUCAACACAAUAAGCAUUCCGCCUGGGGAGUACGGCCGCAAGGUUGAAACUCAAAUGAAUUGGCGGGG